Molecule: ribosomal RNA, 253 nt
Filed under: uncultured bacterium
Lineage: Bacteria
Description: partial 16S ribosomal RNA
Rfam family: Bacterial small subunit ribosomal RNA
Source: RNAcentral
UACAGAGGGUGCGAGCGUUAAUCGGAAUUACUGGGCGUAAAGCGUGCGUAGACGGUAGCGUAAGUCAGAUGUGAAAGCCCCGGGCUCAACCUGGGAAUUGCAUUUGAGACUGCUCUGCUCGGGUGCGGAAGAGGGAAGCGGAAUUUCCGGUGUAGCGGUGAAAUGCGUAGAUAUCAAGAGGAACACCAGUGGCGAAGGCGAGUCCCUGGACAACUUCUGACGCUGAGGCACGAAAGCUAGGGGAGCAAACAGG